AUUAGCAGUAACCAGUUCAUAGAUAUGGGCCAGUAGGACCUGCUACACCUGCUAGUUUGUUCACAAGGUUGUUAUCAUCCAUCCAGAUGGAGGAUCACUAACAGGAGGAUGGGAAGACUCCAGAAUCCACUCUGACUGGAUUCUGGUGGAUACAGCAGUGUUUACAGGUAAGACCAUUUAAAUGGACAGCAUUUAUAGAGUUUAUCAUCCUCAUACUGACCCAGGGUCAGUGUAACAUACAAUCCUACCUGUGUGAACAAAGUCUGGCUCCUUUAAUCCUGCAUGACAAACCUCAGGAUGCAGGUCAGCUGGAGACUUUGAAGUUUCGUAGCAUUGGGCCUGAUGAUGUCGGGUGUAGACAGAUUUCAGAGGAGCAAAGAGGAGCACUGUUGCUUCAUCAUUAACACUUUAAAGCAGAACUGGAUGGAAAUCAAAGGUCCUUAAAAGCUUUUUCUGCUCCCCGACCCUCAAAGCCAAACUUCACCCAUGAGAGCUGACGGGAUACGAUUAUUAAAAAGUGACGUUAUCAGAAACAAAGGUUCAGUAAAUAUCAAACACUUCAGUGGAUUUUCUCUCACAUAUAUUUGGUGUUUGCCCUGCGAUAAACUGUCCUGCUUUUGCCCCGUGGCAGCUGGGACAGGCUUCAACCCUGAAGUGGAAAUAUUGUAUUCCAAGUAUGUAAUCUGAUCAUUUACAAAGUCAAAGUCUCUCAUCAACAUGUAAGUAAUGAUUAUAAACAUGGGAAAGCAGACAUAAAGGUGACAUAUGAGGACAGCUACAUGUAGUGUGUUUGCAGGUCUAUCAGCACAUAGAAGAGUUUGUUAAAGUCUGAUUCAGUGAACCCUGAUUGGUCCAGUCUGUCUGGAUAAAUUCAGUUAGCUGAUCUGUGACCAGUUAUUCACACAUUUUCUAAACUAAUGAUUCAGUUCAGGAUCACAGAGGGGCUGGAGCUGGAUAUGUUCAAUAAAUACACCUUACAAAAGUCAACAAUAAACCUGCAUCCAUGUACGUUGUUGUCCACAGGAGGAGAAAAUCCAGAUGAUCAAAGUGGAAGACUGUGGAACAUGUGAAUGCAUGUUUGUGUGUUUAUGCCUGUGUCUUUCAGAGGAGGCUGGAGGCUCUGAAAGGCUCCCCCACCAGUUCCUGCUCAAUCAAAGCAGCAAACUUGAUG
Long non-coding RNA from Oreochromis niloticus (Nile tilapia), 1171 nucleotides. RefSeq lists it as uncharacterized. The record is from RefSeq and is a predicted model, not a curated record. The transcript has 3 exons. Lineage: Eukaryota; Metazoa; Chordata; Actinopteri; Cichliformes; Cichlidae.